GCUUACGGCCACACCGCCUGGUAUACGCUUUGAUCUCGGAAGCUAAGGUAGGUUGGGCCUGGUUAGUACUUGGAUGGGAGACCGCCUGGGGAAUACCAGGUGCUGUAAGCU
Molecule: ribosomal RNA, 111 nt
Filed under: Scophthalmus maximus (turbot)
Lineage: Eukaryota; Metazoa; Chordata; Actinopteri; Pleuronectiformes; Scophthalmidae
Source: RNAcentral